This 270-nucleotide ribosomal RNA is filed under the name Enterobacter asburiae. RNAcentral's name for it is "partial 23S ribosomal RNA". It matches the Rfam family "Bacterial large subunit ribosomal RNA", at positions 1 to 272 of the family's 2925-position model. Lineage: Bacteria; Pseudomonadati; Pseudomonadota; Gammaproteobacteria; Enterobacterales; Enterobacteriaceae. RNAcentral also lists the same sequence under 2 other names. The record is from RNAcentral.
GGUUAAGCGACUAAGCGUACACGGUGGAUGCCCUGGCAGUCAGAGGCGAUGAAGGACGUGCUAAUCUGCGAAAAGCGCCGGCGAGGUGAUAUGAACCUUUGACCCGGCGAUGUCCGAAUGGGGAAACCCAGUGUGAUUCGUCACACUAUCGUUAACUGAAUACAUAGGUUAACGAGGCGAACCGGGGGAACUGAAACAUCUAAGUACCCCGAGGAAAAGAAAUCAACCGAGAUUCCCCCAGUAGCGGCGAGCGAACGGGGAGCAGCCCAG